This is a long non-coding RNA of Anas platyrhynchos (mallard), 6661 nucleotides long. RefSeq lists it as uncharacterized. The record is from RefSeq and is a predicted model, not a curated record. NCBI's taxonomy places the organism in Eukaryota, Metazoa, Chordata, Aves, Anseriformes, Anatidae.
AUGACUCCAGCCUUCAGGGCUACCACUGUGAUCCUUCACUAGCAUCAGGAAACGUGUUGGGAGGAAGAACAGAAAAAAAAAGCCGGCACUGCCUCAGCUUUGCUGUCUGACCAACGCCCCGAGGAGACAACUGUCAUGUGAAACUCCUGCAAGGAUGGCGCAACCGGUUGCAUGUCAGGGGGCUUGGGAAGGGGUGGUGGGAGCUGGCAGGGUGGGCAGCUGCUCAAAGGAAACCACAAAGGACUGACCAAGCACUUGAAGGAUUCCACGCAUACCUCCCAGAUACGCCUGCCGGUGCGGUUACAAAAUCCCUGCCCGACACUUGGGGUGGCGGCAUGCUGUUGAAAAAAAUAGGGGGAGGAAAGGAAGAAAAAAGGGAAAAACAAAACCCCAAACAACGGUUCAUGGGACACACAGAGGGCUGCAAGUCCUACGCUUUAACGAGACGCCACAGGCAGCGCUGCCUUGGAAUUUGGGCUAUGCUUGCGGUCCGUGGGGCGACUUGCUGAAGCCUUUGGUCACAUUAAGCAACAUUACAUGAUAAUGCUGCAGCACUUUCAGGCUGAGGGAGAAGGAAAACAAAACAGAUGACUCUGGAUGGAAAGGCAUUGCUGUAAACCUGGGAGGGAGAAGAACAUUCCUUUGGAUACUUUUUUUGGCUGGUUGUGUCCUCCCCUCCCCGCCUCCCACCUCUCUCCUCCUCCCCCUCCCCUUGGAGAAUUUGUGACAGCAAGGGUUUUGUUGUUGUUCUAUUAUUAUUUUUUUUACUAACAUUUCCAUAUUAAAUAGAAAGGAAGAGUGUGAAAGGCCAUGCAGAGUGGUGGCAGCUAGACAGUGGAAUCUGUAACUGAAGGGUGGAGCGCGAGCACUGGAGAGGUGCCGGUUAUUUAUAGGGUAUGAGUGAACACAAAAAAUGUCUGGCCCCUUUAAGGCCCCUUAAUCCAAACAACCAAUGGAAAGAAAAAAAUGGGAAAAAAAGAGCGGAAAGAAAGAAAAUAAAACAAAACAAGGAGAAAAGGCAUCUCUGCACCAGACUGCGAAGCAUGAAGGAGGAUGGGGCGAUGGCGUGGCACAACACCACCCCUGGCCAGACCUGAGCUCGGUGUCCUCCGGGAGCCACAGCCUCAGCGAGGAGACCACGGGCAGCCCCAGGCACAGCUGCCUCUCGGGUGGGACAAGGAGGCUGUUUUGAGCACGAGAAGAGAAGUUCAAGGAAAUUAAGAAGGAGAAGCUGAGCACGUCUGGAGCAUGGGCCAGAAAUUCACUCUCUUUGGUCUCCAUUAGAGCAACCGGGGAUCUUUGCAUGCCAAGCCGAGGAGAAGAGCCUGGGAGAUGCGGCUGUUUACUGCCUUCACUCUUGCCUUGGGAUGCAUAAGCUGGAAGAUCAUUGCUGAGGCACAAAUCCUCCUUCCCCUUUGCUUAAGGCUGCUGAAGUCUUGGCAAGAGCCCCAUGCCUGGUUGCAGGCAUCGCACUGCGAGAAAAAUGGGGCUGCAAGGAAAGCACGGUCUGACCAGAGCAGGACAAAUGGCCAUGGUCCAGUGCAACCUGCAAAGAGAUACUGAAAGGACGGUGGUUGUUUAGGCUAGAGAGGAGAAGAGCAAAGAUAUUAAAAUAGUCUUCAAAUAUUUAAUAUGUUGUACCAAAGAAGAAAAGGAUGAACUGUUCUCCAAGUCUGCUGGACAAGAAGAAGGAGGAUUACUCUGCAGCAAAAGGAAGGACAAAGCUUUUGUGGCCCGGUAUUUCAGCGCAGGUGUGGAUGCUCUGGGAAGGCCCUUGUCAGGGCUGGUGUAAGCAGGGUUACUCUGCUCUGUCCCUGGAAGAUCAUCCCUUCCAGCCCUUUCUAGGACUUUCCUAGGAGUCCUGAUUGAUUUUAGCCCAGCUGAGCAGUGUUUUCCCUCUACAAGAUCUCCUUCCUGAAGAGGAAAGAGAGGAACCUCAGUCCAAAGAGGUGCCACACAAAGUCACAGCAGUUCUGUGCUCUAAGCAAAGCUCCUUUUUGCUUUCUUUCCAGAAGAAACGCAUGCAGUUAUGCCUAUCUCUUCUAAGCAGACAUAAGGGGAUUGUGAAGAGGUCCUGGAAGACACUCAGCACUUAGGUGAUUUAGUGCACAACAAAGUGGAUAAGUCAUCAACUUCAAUGAAUACACACCUGGAACCAGAGAAACCGAAGACAGACAAUUCUUUGGACAGAGAGGGGUCGGUAAAGAGAUUCAAGAACUCGAGUGGAUGACAGUGACACUAAAUCCUCAGGUCUUUUCACAACCCCUGCUCUUAUUCCCUAGGAUCCUGUUGAACCCAUGAGCCUUCACUAAUAGGUUUCAUUCUUCUCUGCCAGUAUCAAAUAACAAAUGUCAGAUCUCAUAUGGGAACCACUAACAACAUCAAAAUAAGAUUUAUAUGGAAAGACGAAGUUCAAAAGAACGGUUACAAAAUGCAGAAAGGUUUUGUUUGUACCCAGUCACACACAAAUAAAAUCAAAAUCAAAACACCGCUAUUCAGGACUGGGCUCACUGUCACCCAUGACCUUCUCCCACCAUCAUUGCAAUUUUGAAUGCUGGACGCUGGCUACAAAUUAAUUUGCUGAAACUGAGGAAAAUGCUUCCCUGAUGUGUAAACAAGAAAAGGCUAAACAUGCAUUAGCUAAUCCCAGACUUCAGCUGAUCGCUUUUGGUUCAAACUCUAUGCUAAUACUCCCUCUAGCUUUCCUUUCUCCAAAGAGAAGGGCUCCAAAGCUCUAGAUCUGCUCCUCACCUUCCAACCCUGUGAGAAGGACAACAGCGUAAUAAUGGCAAAAUCCUCGAGCGCCAGCUGGUGGUGCUGGCUUAGUUGAGUGCCAGCUGGUGAUGCUGGUUUAGUUUUUCCGGUGACCACAGAGAAGCCGAAGGCAUCUCAGAUGUGGAAAAACGGAUGCAUGGAGAGGUAACAAGACUUGGCCGCAGAAGGGAGAGGCAGAUCCUCAAGAGGCAUAAAUCAUUCCAGCUCUUCUGAUGUCAGCACCCCAGGGAGGUCGGGCCAGCGUCGAGCGGAGCAGCAAGGAAGAGGAGGGCUGAGCCUCUUCCUGCUUGUCACAAUGCGAGUCCAGGAAAGUCGGACCCCGGCUCUCCUCCUGCUCUGGACUUCUGCCACCAUCUCAUCCUGCUCGGAGAAUCUGUCAGCACACCUCAACCCUCGAAAACUGGGGCUCGAGCCAAGGCCCUCAAAAGGGAGCAAAGGAAGGAUGGGAGACGGAGUCCAAAAGUGUCUUUCCGCUCUAAAGCUGAGCAACAAGGCUGGAGCGUGUGUCUGCAGAGGGAAUGGCGAAUGCUCAGGACAAAAACAGACCGCGGCGAAAGAGCGAGGGGAAGCGUGCGAGGCGAGCGUGCAAACGUGCAUGCAUGCGUGACCACAGCGGGGUGUGGGAGCCACCACAAGCACCUCGUGACAGCAGUGUGGGAGCGAACAAACGGCACGAGCAGGGAGGGAAGGGACACGGGGGGCUCUGCAGCACGCGACGGGCAAACCGUUUUUGGGGCGAGGGCAGGCACGUCCUGCAGGAGGGGACCAUGUCAAGGCAGGAACGUGCAAACGCGUGCAGGAAGAAGGUCCGAGCGUGAGAGCGAGCCUGCAACUAUCUGCAAAGAGAGGAGCUAUCCCGAUGGCGGGGGAAGGAAUGGGAAAAGGCAAGGUCUCGUCUCUCCCAGGCGGGAGCGGACGUGCCGGGGAGGAAUGCUGCGUCCCCGUUCCAGUGCUCGCUCUUGGCUGCGAGGAAGGUGCAGCCUCUCCUCCUCCAGCAGGAGCCACCGGGCCUGGUCCGCGGGGGGAGCAGAGGCUCCCGCUGUCCGGGUUUUCCAUUCGGAGCUCCACGUGGCACAAAAUCCCAUCGGUUUCCCUGCCAGAGGGAGCCAGGUGGAGAGAACAAUAAAAAGCAGAAGGCGCGGGGUGGGGCGGGAUGGUCCAGAGCGGAUGCAGAGGAUGGAAUUAAUCAGCUGUCCGGGAGGAAUAUUAGAGCUCUUCGGCUUGUCGUCAACGCCUUCUCCUCCUUCCCAAAGACAGACACAAUGAGAGACCAAGGAACAUUUCCUAUUGUUACAGGGGAUUUGUCCACAAGGUCCAGCCCCAUGUGGAAGUCAUUACCGGCUGGGAGUGGCAUCUCGAGGGAGACUGUCACCAUAGCAGCCCAGCUCCCAGUCCAGGGAUCGCUGUGGGCUGAGGUACGAAGUGUUUUGCUUAAUAGCACCCCUUUGACUGAGCCAAAGUCCUGAGCACUCCUACGAGAAGCCAUCAAGGGUAGCUCCGCGCCAACAGGAACGGAUCAUGAAUUUCACUGCUGCUACCGAACGGGGAAGGGAGGGACAGUUACGUCAAGGUUUUCUUUUCCCUGCCUCCAACCCUCCCUAGAUAGAAAACCGAAGAGUGGCUGCAGCAACAGCUGUACGAAGCACGAGGUGAAGAGCUGACCACUGCCCACCUGCACGUCCUCCCGCUCCAGCAGAACUUGGCCUUCAGGAUCAUCCGUGGAAGAACGUAAUUAUCCGUGGGUGAGAGCCCAGGACUGAGUGAUCAGAGAGAAUCAACACCUCCGAGCUCCCACGGGGAAGCAGAUCCUUUUAGACACAUGUUACAUCUAAGCCCGGUCGUUUCACGCUAAAUCAUCCUGAAGUCAGCAGCAUCUCCAGCAGUGGUGAUGUCAGCGCCCUCAGGACAGCCGGCCUCGUGCACGGAGGAAAGGGGCACCUCGGAAAUCAGUGGGAAAUCAACAUCUAGGUAAAACGCAGCUCUCCCUAGGCCUCCCAAAUCCACUCCCGACUUCCCCAGCCGUGAAGGAGCAGAUAGAAGCAAAGUCAGCUGUGGGAACUGGGGGUUAAAGUAAUCAGAUUAAGCCUGGCUUGGCCAUUUGGUCCGACAGGAACCGCACAAUGCAUCCAAGGAGAACUGAGGGGCCAGGGGAGCAAGUGAUGGGCAACAGGCAGCUGGCCUGCCUGCUAAAUGCCACCCACUGAUCUGGCAUCUUUAGCACAGAAAUAUUUCUCCCAGAAAUCUCCAAGCACAUCAAAUGAGCAACUUUUAGGCUCCCAGGAAGCGGAGGUGCCACUUUUACCCAGAUGACAUUUGGAGCAUGCGUACAACUCUUUUAACUGCUUGCCGCUCUUGAACCAGCCUCUCCAAAACCACUCAACAUAGAAAUACACAAACGAGAAGCAAUAUCAACACUGAAAGGUGCCUUAUCGCUACCCUAACCAGUUGACUUCCACCUGGCGAGUUUGCUCUUUCACACAGCAGGCUUUUGUUAGGUUUCCACAAGGGUAGUGACAGAGGUGACCUGUGGGCUGUGCCAGGGGGUCCACCUCCAGGAGAUGCCAUACCCCAAACCCAGCUUCACACAACUGCCGUCAGAAAACUGCAAUAUCUAAAGGGCAAGGCUUUGGGAGGGAAAGGAGGGCAGGCACAUAGCCAAGGGGAUUCUGGCAACAUGGUGGGACAGGCAGCAUCUUCUGGGUUUUUCAGAAGUUCCACAAGCAUCAAGCACAACUACCACGCUUGCAGAAGGGCACUCAUAGCUGUCUCAGACCACACGUCCCCAAACAGUGCUGGGAGAGCAGAAAACCAUCACCGUAUGGGAUGACCACGAGAAACAAGGACUCUCUGCCACCCCAAUAAAGUGUAGGACAGCAGCCUCCCAAAAGCCUUUUUUUUGCACCAGUGAUUAAGCAGAUUUCUCCAGCCUCCUGCCCUUGCUGCAGGGCCCAACCCACACCACACCAUUUCUUGCCUGCCUUGAGUUCAGUGCACAAAGAAGCCCUUACAAAAAUCAAGCCCAAGCACAGUGGUAUGAUGCUGUGCUCUGUUUUCUUAAAAAUAAAUAAAAAUACUUGUUAUUCUUCCAUGGAAAAUGAACGCGGGGAAGAUCAGCAUGGUCAGCUCAUUUAUCUCCAAGAAAUUUCUUCUUAAUUGAGCAGGGUGUCCCUCCCCACAGGACAGCUCUCAGCUGGGUAUUUUUACAAGUAUGAACAUUGCAGCUUUUUCUUGUAAAUGGUGUGAAUGUUCUCCUCUAUUUAUGUCCUACAAAACCUCAUUUUUACCAACAUUUAUGCAUCAUAACACAUAACCCUGAUCCUGCAAAAUCUCUACACGGGCACAGAUUUGUGUAUGCCUGAGAUCUCCCUGGCUUCAAUGAGCUAUUCAUCUGCAGCUUGCUGAAGAGGCUGAAACUGUACUUAUGUUUUAUGUAUGUGGAAAAAUUAUUACAUAGCAAUAGGGUUCAAACAGGAGCCCCCAGAUUCAUCAGAUGUCUGACUCGCUUGGUACACACAGUAUAAAAUGGAAAGAGGGGAUGGGAAACAUAAUAAGAUGCAAUAAAAAUGUCCUUAAAUGUUUCAGGUUAUUGAAAAAAUCUCUCUUUGUGAGCUCUCUAACUUUUGAAAUCAUGAACAUGCAUUCUUACAAAGUUAGACUUAAAAGUAGCUUAUAUUUAAUUUAAAAUUGCAUUGUUCCAAUUAUACCUACAAAAUGCACACAACACAUAUAUGUAUAAAAUGUAUUAUUACACUGUAAAAUGUAUAUUUACAUUAUUUAAAUUAAAUUUAAAAUUAAAGUCAUACUGAAACUAAAUGUACUUGUUUGCCAUAUGUCUUGGUAGGACACGCUCUGCUCAUUCCGUAAGACCAAAGAAUAGAAAAAUAAA